GUGAACGAUUAAGGGCGCGCGGUGGAUGCCUAGGCUCUCGGAGGCGAAGAAGGACGCGAUAAGCCGCGAUAGUCCACGGCGAGGUGCAAGUAACCCUUGACCCGUGGGUUUCCGAAUGGGGCAACCCGGCCGUCUAGAUGACGGUCAUGCAUUAUCAUGCAGGCGAACGCGGGGAACUGAAACAUCUCAUUACCCGCAGGAGAAGAAAACAACAGUGAUUCCCCCAGUAGUGGCGAGCGAACGGGGAAGAGCCCAAACCGCUGCCGUUUCGGCGACAGCGGGGUCAUGGGACCGCGACAUUCGACGUGAGACGAAGUGCAAUUACCUGGAAAGGUAAGCCGUGGAGGGUGACAGCCCCGUGCACGACACCUCUCACGAAGAUAGCGGAAUCCCGAGUAGGGCGGGACACGAGAAAUCCUGCCUGAAUUCGCCAGGACCUCCUGGCAAGGCUAAAUACUCCCGAGAGACCGAUAGUGAACCAGUACCGUGAGGGAAAGGUGAAAAGUACCCCGAGCAGGGGGGUGAAAUAGACCCUGAACCCGCGCGCCUACAAGCGGUCGGAGCUGCCUUGUGCAGUGACGGCGUGCCUUUUGCAUAAUGAGCCUACGAGUUAGUCGUCACCAGCGAGGUUAAGGGCUUCAGGCCCGUUAGCCGAAGUGAAAGCGAGCCUUAACAGGGCGUCGAGUUGGUGGCGCUAGACGCGAAACCUUGUGAUCUACCCCCGAGCAGGUUGAAGUCGCGGUAACACGUGAUGGAGGACCGAACCGGUAAACGUUGAAAAGUUUUCGGAUGACUUGGGGGUAGGGGUGAAAGGCCAAUCAAACUGGGAAAUAGCUCGUACUCUCCGAAAUGCAUUUCGGUGCAGCCUGUGGUGUUCUGUUCUAGAGGUAGAGCUACUGAUUGGACGCGAGGGCUUCACCGCCUAUCAAAUCCGGAUAAACUCCGAAUGCUAGAACAUCAAACCAUGGAGUGAGCCCGCGGGUGCUAAGGUCCGCGGACGAGAGGGGAAGAACCCAGACCACCCGCUAAGGUCCCCGAUGGACGGUUAAGUUGAUAAAACGAGGUGGGAUCGCGAAGACAGCUAGGAUGUUGGCUUGGAAGCAGCCAUUCAUUUAAAGAGUGCGUAACAGCUCACUAGUCGAGUGAUCCCGCGUGGAUAAUACACGGGCAUUAAACCGUCAACCGAAGCGGUGGGGUUAGCAGUAGCUAACCGGUAGGAGAGCAUUCCUGUCGGCGCCGAAGGUGUAUCGCGAGGUACGCUGGAGCGUCAGGAAAAGCAAAUGUAGGCAUAAGUAACGAUAAUGGGGGCGAGAACCCCCCACGCCGCAAGACCAAGGAUUCCCCGGCAAUGUCAAUCAGCCGGGGGUCAGCCGGCCUCUAAGGCUAACCCGAAGGGGGAUGCCGACGAGAAACGGGUUAACAUUCCCGUGCUUCUCGUCACCGUGACGCGGUGACGGGGUGAUGAAUGGACCGCGCGCAGACGGAAUAGCGCGUUGAAGGCCGUACCCUUUGAGGGUGGUAGUCAAGCACGCCACCGGAGGCGAAAGUCGAUAGUACCUCGAGGCCUCGGCCGAGGGGAUAGCGUCCAGGCAAUUAACCCCCUAGAAAACCCGCUAAACUUCAAGUGACGAGGAACCGUACCGUAAACGGACACACGUGGUCGGGUAGAACAUACCAAGGCGCUCGAGUGAUUCAUGGUCAAGGAACUAGGCAAAAUAGUCCUGUAACUUAGGGAUAAAGGACGCUCUAGUGAUAGAGCCGCAGAGAAAUGGCCCAGGCGACUGUUUACCAAAAACACAUGGCUAUGCCAAAUCGAAAGAUGACGUAUAUGGCCUGACACCUGCCCGGUGCCGGAAGGUUAAGAGGAGAGCUCAUCAGUAACGAGAAGGUUUGAAUUGAAGCCCCGGUAAACGGCGGCCGUAACUAUAACGGUCCUAAGGUAGCGAAAUUCCUUGUCGGGUAAGUUCCGACCUG
Molecule: ribosomal RNA, 1974 nt
Filed under: human gut metagenome
Description: bacterial LSU rRNA
Rfam family: Bacterial large subunit ribosomal RNA
Source: RNAcentral